GAUGAACGCUAGCGGCGUGCCUUAUGCAUGCAAGUCGAACGACCCCGAUUUAUCGGGGUAGUGGCGAACGGGUGAGUAACGCGUAAGUAAUCUGCCCCUAAAUAGGGGAUAACUCUGAGAAAUUAGAGCUAAUACCGUAGUGGUGGUGGAGGUAAUGCUCCAUCACUAAAGCCUUUUUGGUGUUUAGGGAGGAGCUUGCGUCCGAUUAGCUAGUUGGUAGAGUAAUGGUUUACCAAGGCGAUGAUCGGUAGCUGGUUUGAGAGGACGGUCAGCCACAUUGGGACUGAGAUACGGCCCAGACUCCUACGGGAGGCAGCAGCAAGGAAUUUUGUGCAAUGGGCGAAAGCCUGACACAGCGACGCCGCGUGGGGGAUGAAUGCCUUCGGGUUGUAAACCCCCUUUCUCAGGGAAGAAAAAUGACGGUACCUGAGGAAUAAGUCUCGGCUAACUACGUGCCAGCAGCCGCGGUAAUACGUAGGAGGCGAGCGUUAUCCGGAUUUACUGGGCGUAAAGAGGGCGUAGGCGGUUUUUCAAGUCGGAUGUAAAAGUUCUCAGCUUAACUGAGAAAAGUCAUUCGAUACUGUUAAGCUAGAGGGCAGCAGAGGGAGGCGGAAUUCCCGGUGUAGUGGUGAAAUGCGUAGAUAUCGGGAGGAACACCAGUGGCGAAGGCGGCCUUCUGGGCUGUUUCUGACGCUGAAGCCCGAAAGCGUGGGGAGCAAACAGGAUUAGAUACCCUGGUAGUCCACGCCGUAAACGAUGGACACUAGUUAUGGGGAGUAUCGACCCUCUCCGUGACGGAGCUAACGCAUUAAGUGUCCCGCCUGGGGAGACGGUCGCAAGGCU
RNAcentral lists this ribosomal RNA (843 nucleotides) under uncultured Chloroflexota bacterium. RNAcentral describes it as "bacterial SSU rRNA". It matches the Rfam family "Bacterial small subunit ribosomal RNA", at positions 28 to 895 of the family's 1533-position model. Lineage: Bacteria; Bacillati; Chloroflexota. The record is from RNAcentral.